GCUGUUCAGUUUUUAUUGUGCUUGGUGUA
RNAcentral lists this non-coding RNA (29 nucleotides) under Mus musculus (house mouse). Lineage: Eukaryota; Metazoa; Chordata; Mammalia; Rodentia; Muridae. The record is from RNAcentral.